Molecule: ribosomal RNA, 497 nt
Filed under: uncultured bacterium
Lineage: Bacteria
Description: partial 16S ribosomal RNA
Rfam family: Bacterial small subunit ribosomal RNA
Source: RNAcentral
GAUGAACGCUGGCGGCGUGCCUAAUACAUGCAAGUCGAGCGAACAGACGAGGAGCUUGCUCCUCUGACGUUAGCGGCGGACGGGUGAGUAACACGUGGAUAACCUACCUAUAAGACUGGGAUAACUUCGGGAAACCGGAGCUAAUACCGGAUAAUAUAUUGAACCGCAUGGUUCAAUAGUGAAAGACGGUUUUGCUGUCACUUAUAGAUGGAUCCGCGCCGCAUUAGCUAGUUGGUAAGGUAACGGCUUACCAAGGCAACGAUGCGUAGCCGACCUGAGAGGGUGAUGGGACACACUGGAACUGAGACACGGUCCAGAAUACUACGGGAGGCAGCAGUCGGGAAUCGUACGGAAGGGGCGAAAGCCGGAAGGAGCAGUGACGAGUGAGAGAUAAAGGUCUAAGGAUCGUGAAACUCGGUUAUGAGGGAAGAACAGAUGUGGAAGUAACUGUGCCAGCCUUGACGGUACCUAAUAAGAAAGCGACGGCUAACUACGUG